UUAAGGAAAAUUAAUCCUAAUUAAACUAGAAUAAGAAUAAGACUAAGAAAACCUAUCCUGACGAUGACUUUCAGGUUUUGCGCAUACUGAAUGAACAAAGUGGAGAAGAGCGGGUUUUGCAAUUGAGGGAUGAGUGGUAAUGAGUUGAAUCUCUGUUAUUUCAUCUAUUAUCAAUCUGCUAAAUAUACUUAAAAACACAGAUUCACAAUCAAGCUAUUUCGUUAAAGAGGACUAAUACUCUUGAAUAGUUUCCUCUAUUUCUGUUAUAGUAGAAUGUAGACAACAUGGGGGAUGGGCUUUCCUGUUCACAAUGACUUGUUACUGAAUGAACAAAGUGGAGAAGUGGAGAAUGAACGAUGACUUUAGACAACAUGACGAUGACUUUCAGGUUUUGCGCAUACUGAAUGAACAAAGUGGAGAAGAGCGGGUUUUGCAAUUGAGGGAUGAGUGGUAAUGAGUUGAAUCUCUGUUAUUUCAUCUAUUAUCAAUCUGCUAAAUAUACUUAAAAACACAGAUUCACAAUCAAGCUAUUUCGUUAAAGAGGACCAAUACUCUUGAAUAGUUUCCUCUAUUUCUGUUAUAGUAAAAUGUAGACAACAUGGGGGAUGGGCUUUCCUGUUCACAAUGACUUGUUACUGAAUGAACAAAGUGGAGAAGUGGAGAAUGAACGAUGACUUUAGACAACAUGACGAUGACUUUCAGGUUUUGCGCAUACUGAAUGAACAAAGUGGAGAAGAGCGGGUUUUGCAAUUGAGGGAUGAGUGGUAAUGAGUUGAAUCUCUGUUAUUUCAUCUAUUAUCAAUCUGCUAAAUAUACUUAAAAACACAGAUUCACAAUCAAGCUAUUUCGUUAAAGAGGACUAAUACUCUUGAAUAGUUUCCUCUAUUUCUGUUAUAGUAGAAUGUAGACAACAUGGGGGAUGGGCUUUCCUGUUCACAAUGACUUGUUACUGAAUGAACAAAGUGGAGAAGUGGAGAAUGAACGAUGACUUUAGACAACAUGACGAUGACUUUCAGGUUUUGCGCAUACUGAAUGAACAAAGUGGAGAAGAGCGGGUUUUGCAAUUGAGGGAUGAGUGGUAAUGAGUUGAAUCUCUGUUAUUUCAUCUAUUAUCAAUCUGCUAAAUAUACUUAAAAACACAGAUUCACAAUCAAGCUAUUUCGUUAAAGAGGACCAAUACUCUUGAAUAGUUUCCUCUAUUUCUGUUAUAGUAAAAUGUAGACAACAUGGGGGAUGGGCUUUCCUGUUCACAAUGACUUGUUACUCGAACACGAAUACUUUUGCUACUCUUAAAUCAUCUUCCCAACCGACAGUUCAGUUGUGAUGAUAUUUAGUCAUGCAGAACAACAAUCUCAAUGUGCAUUGUGUUACUUAUAUCUAAUAUUUGCUUCUUUGGAUCUGCCAUGGACCCAAUGAGAUUAUCAUGUGAACUAAACAAACAGAGAUUACAGUGACACUGCCACUCGGAUGACUUUCAAACACUAGUUUUAUCCCCCUUCUUCUUGCAUCAUGUCUUUUGAUGUUGACGUAGCUUUUAUGUCUUUCUUGUCUUUGCAUUUGAGUUUACAAAGGCAUCUUUAUCCUAAAUUCUAAAGCAGACAACGUUUUAGUCCCAGCCGCUUUUCUGCAUUGCUUCAUUUGAUCAAAAUACCUUCCAGUUGUGAGAAACUAUAAUUCAUCAUCUGUAUGAACCUUCUGUGGAAGAGACCAGAGAUCGUCUCUUGUUAAGCUUUGUAAUUCUAAUUGUUGACAGACAUUAUGAUGAGGAACUUACUUGCUUUCCAGGUGCUAUAGUGUUGUUGCACCAAAGAUACUAUUCAUGUCAUUGGUGAGUUUGACAGCGAAGGAAAAUGUGAAAUAAACCGCGAGAAGAAUUUUCUCAUUGUUCAUCCAGAUAUUUUAGUCUCUGGAACAAGGUUUCAGUUGUUCAAGGCGAGCUGUGCGGGAUGAGAGGUUAAAAUCUGGCAGAGUAUUCAGCUGCAGCAUUGAUUGGCACAUUAUUGCAUCAGAUGUUUCAGGCUGGACUGAUCAGAGAGUCCCCUACACAAGAAAU
This is an RNA transcript of Nicotiana attenuata, 2053 nucleotides long. RefSeq lists it as uncharacterized. NCBI's taxonomy places the organism in Eukaryota, Viridiplantae, Streptophyta, Magnoliopsida, Solanales, Solanaceae. The record is from RefSeq and is a predicted model, not a curated record. The transcript is spliced from 3 exons.